Non-coding RNA from Equus caballus (horse), 808 nucleotides. NCBI's taxonomy places the organism in Eukaryota, Metazoa, Chordata, Mammalia, Perissodactyla, Equidae. The record is from RefSeq and is a predicted model, not a curated record.
ACUCCCACGUGUUGGGGACACAAGAUGACGAGCGAGACACAGGCUUGCCCACCUAAGUGGAUGGCAGCCAGGCCAGCUUCCCUGGGGAUGGUCCAGAGGGGCUUAACCCUGAAGGGCAGUGACGUGGCCCAAUAUGGUCUCGAGGAGAGCACGGUGGGAAGCCCAAUCUCCCUGGAGGACAACGGGACCAUCUUUCACACAGACACGAAGUGACACAUACACAAGGCUACCCAACACAGCUUUGCUUGUAGCAGCAAAUGAUUCCAGAGGCCCAUCCCUGGGGCCUGGGCUAACAACCGCGGCAGGGCUGCGCUGUGGGCCAUCGCGCAGCUGCUGGGAAGGACGGGGCCACUCCGGAGCAGAGGGAAUCUCGGUGAUGUGCUGAGGAAGCCGGGGGUUCAGAUGCCCCUGUGCCGAUUCCCAGGCAGGAAACUGGCUACAGGGGGGUGCCUCUGGGAUGGGGAUUCAUGUUUCUGCUAGAAAAUUCUGAAUUUCAUAACGUGCAAAAAUUCUUUAGUCAGUUCAGAGAUAAACCCCAUGCAUCUAUGAUUAGCAAAUUUUUGACAAGGGUCCCAAGACCAUUUAACGGGGGAAGUAACAGUCUCUUCAACAGACAGUGGUGGGACAACUGGAUAACCACACGCAAAGGAUGUUGGCCACCUACCUCACACCGUUUACAAAAAUGAACUCCAGAUGGAUGACAGACCUAAACCUAAGAGCUAUGAACUCUUCUGAAACUAUGAACUCUUAAGAAAACACAAGGGAAAAGCUUCAUGACAUUGGACUGGUUUCCUGGAUGACACCAAAA